AGACGGGGACAUGAGCAGCGCGCACGGGGUCCCGCGCCCGGCGGCCAGCCCUAUCCGGCGGCGGCCAGCGGGUCAACGCUGCCCGGGAGAAUGAGGCAGGAGCCGGCGGCAGCCUCCUUUUUUUCCUUCUCCUCGCCUUCCUGCGGCUCCGGCGCUCCGGGUCCGGGCCGGGCUGCGGCUCUGCUGCGUGCCCCGCGCGCCCCUCAACCGCCUCCGGAUGCGCUUCUCGGUUAGCCUGGCAAGGAAGAUAAAGACAUUUGCAACCAAGAUGGUAAUCACUAGUGAAAAUGAUGAAGACAGAGGAGGUCAAGAAAAAGAAAGUAAAGAGGAGAGUGUCUUGGCAAUGCUGGGGAUUAUCGGGACCAUUCUGAACCUGAUUGUGAUCAUAUUUGUCUACAUAUACACCACCCUGUGAAUGGCCCAGAGCGUCCUCAGAGGCCUCAGAAUGGCCAAAGACGGAAGUCCUGCGUGUCGGCGCAUCACUGACCAGACCCUGCGAGAACAAGCAGGCUUGACCCGCACAUACCACCCAAUCAAAUGCACCUUCAAACUUUACAAAAGGUCACACAAAUAGACCGAUCCUGCUGCAGGGAGCAGACACUAAAGCACAAUGAUUCCAACAAAACUCAUUCACAGCACUAGGAACUCAACGUCUUUGGCAGGGGGCCCAGAAGAAUGCUUGGAAGACCAGCCUCUGACACCAUCAGCUGAACUCUAUGGACUGCAGCAACA
Molecule: long non-coding RNA, 732 nt
Filed under: Homo sapiens (human)
Lineage: Eukaryota; Metazoa; Chordata; Mammalia; Primates; Hominidae
Description: HSALNT0378917
Source: RNAcentral